Molecule: ribosomal RNA, 257 nt
Filed under: uncultured bacterium
Lineage: Bacteria
Description: partial 16S ribosomal RNA
Rfam family: Bacterial small subunit ribosomal RNA
Source: RNAcentral
UACGUAGGGCGCGAGCGUUGUCCGGAAUUAUUGGGCGUAAAGAGCUCGUAGGCGGUCUGUCGCGUCGGCUGUGAAAUCCCGGAGCUCAACUCCGGGUCUGCAGUCGAGUAACGGGCAAACUGGAGUAGCUGCAGGGGAGACUGGAAUUCCUGGUGUAGCGGUAGAAAUGCGCAGAUAUCAGGAGGAACACCGGUGGCGAAGGCGGGUCUCUGGGCAGUAACUGACGCUGAGGAGCGAAAGCGUGGGGAGCGAACAGG